AUAAAGGGUAACAUUUGGAGACUUAGGACUCUGUUCAUUUGGGUUAUCCAUAAAGGGUAACAUUUGAAGACUUAGGGUUCUGUUCAUCGGGUUACCCAUAAAGGGUAAUAUUUAGAGACUUAGGGCUCUGUUCAUUUGGGUUACCCAUAAAGGGUAAUAUUUGGAGACUUAGGACUCUGUUCAUCGGGGUUACCCAUAAAGGGUAG
RNAcentral lists this long non-coding RNA (206 nucleotides) under Manihot esculenta (cassava). Its description in RNAcentral is "long non-coding RNA (MESC_LNC011477)". Lineage: Eukaryota; Viridiplantae; Streptophyta; Magnoliopsida; Malpighiales; Euphorbiaceae. The record is from RNAcentral.